CAGCCGCCGCGGUAAUACGUAGGUCCCGAGCGUUGUCCGGAUUUAUUGGGCGUAAAGCGAGCGCAGGCGGUUAGAUAAGUCUGAAGUUAAAAGCUGUGGCUUAACCAUAGUACGCUUUGGAAACUGUUUAACUUGAGUGCAAGAGGGGAGAGUGGAAUUCCAUGUGUAGCGGUGAAAUGCGUAGAUAUAUGGAGGAACACCGGCGGCGAAAGCGGCUCUCUGGCUUGUAACUGACGCUGAGGCUCGAAAGCGUGGGGAGCAAACAGGAUUAGAUACCCCCGUAGUCCCUGUCUCUUAUACA
Molecule: ribosomal RNA, 301 nt
Filed under: uncultured bacterium
Lineage: Bacteria
Description: partial 16S ribosomal RNA
Rfam family: Bacterial small subunit ribosomal RNA
Source: RNAcentral